RNAcentral lists this ribosomal RNA (719 nucleotides) under uncultured Bacilli bacterium. Its description in RNAcentral is "bacterial SSU rRNA". It matches the Rfam family "Bacterial small subunit ribosomal RNA", at positions 33 to 737 of the family's 1533-position model. The record is from RNAcentral. Lineage: Bacteria; Bacillati; Bacillota; Bacilli.
ACGCUGGCGGCGUGCCUAAUACAUGCAAGUAGAACGCUGAAGGAGGAGCUUGCUUCUCUGGAUGAGUUGCGAACGGGUGAGUAACGCGUAGGUAACCUGCCUGGUAGCGGGGGAUAACUAUUGGAAACGAUAGCUAAUACCGCAUAAGAGUAGAUGUUGCAUGACAUUUGCUUAAAAGGUGCAAUUGCAUCACUACCAGAUGGACCUGCGUUGUAUUAGCUAGUUGGUGGGGUAACGGCUCACCAAGGCGACGAUACAUAGCCGACCUGAGAGGGUGAUCGGCCACACUGGGACUGAGACACGGCCCAGACUCCUACGGGAGGCAGCAGUAGGGAAUCUUCGGCAAUGGACGGAAGUCUGACCGAGCAACGCCGCGUGAGUGAAGAAGGUUUUCGGAUCGUAAAGCUCUGUUGUAAGAGAAGAACGAGUGUGAGAGUGGAAAGUUCACACUGUGACGGUAUCUUACCAGAAAGGGACGGCUAACUACGUGCCAGCAGCCGCGGUAAUACGUAGGUCCCGAGCGUUGUCCGGAUUUAUUGGGCGUAAAGCGAGCGCAGGCGGUUAGAUAAGUCUGAAGUUAAAGGCUGUGGCUUAACCAUAGUACGCUUUGGAAACUGUUUAACUUGAGUGCAAGAGGGGAGAGUGGAAUUCCAUGUGUAGCGGUGAAAUGCGUAGAUAUAUGGAGGAACACCGGUGGCGAAAGCGGCUCUCUGGCUUGU